This 468-nucleotide ribosomal RNA is filed under the name uncultured bacterium. RNAcentral's name for it is "partial 16S ribosomal RNA". It matches the Rfam family "Bacterial small subunit ribosomal RNA", at positions 28 to 507 of the family's 1533-position model. The record is from RNAcentral.
GACGAACGCUGGCGUCGUGCUUAACACAUGCAAGUCGAACGGAAAGGCCCUGCUUUUGUUGGGUGCUCGAGUGGCGAACGGGUGAGUAACACGUGAGUAACCUGCCCUUGACUUUGGGAUAACUUCAGGAAACUGGGGCUAAUACCUGAUAGGUGCUCCUGCUGCAUGGUGGGGGUUGGAAAGUUUCGUCGGUUGGGGAUGGACUCGCGGCUUAUCAGCUUGUUGGUGGGGUAGUGGCUUACCAAGGCUUUGACGGGUAGCCGGCCUGAGAGGGUGACCGGCAACAUUGGGACUGAGAUACGGCCCAGACUCAUACGGGAGGCAGCAGUGGGGAAUAUUGAACAAUGGGCGGAAGCCUGAUGCAGAAACGCCGCGUGCGGGAUGACGGCCUGAGGGUUGUAAACCGCUUUCGCCAGUGACGAAGCGUGAGUGAAGAUAAUGGGUAAAGAAGCACCGGAUAACUACGUG